This 161-nucleotide ribosomal RNA is filed under the name Termitomyces sp. 60995. RNAcentral describes it as "5.8S ribosomal RNA". It matches the Rfam family "5.8S ribosomal RNA". From Rfam's summary of the family: 5.8S ribosomal RNA (5.8S rRNA) is a component of the large subunit of the eukaryotic ribosome. It is transcribed by RNA polymerase I as part of the 45S precursor that also contains 18S and 28S rRNA. Lineage: Eukaryota; Fungi; Basidiomycota; Agaricomycetes; Agaricales; Lyophyllaceae. The record is from RNAcentral.
AUACAACUUUCAGCAACGGAUCUCUUGGCUCUCGCAUCGAUGAAGAACGCAGCGAAAUGCGAUAAGUAAUGUGAAUUGCAGAAUUCAGUGAAUCAUCGAAUCUUUGAACACACCUUGCGCUCCUUGGUAUUACGAGGAGCAUGCCUGUUUGAGUGUCAUUA